CGAAACCUAACCUUUCAUGCUACGAUUUGAGUUAUGGCCUUAUGGGGUCAUUGAAAUGCUUAAACAUUAACUUUGUGACAAUAUAUGCAUGGUUCUUGAUUAAUUACGUAGUUUUCACAUUACCUUUCAUGUUAGAUUUUGAUUUUUUUUAUUGAAUUUAAGAAAGUUCUACGAAUCACAUUAAACUCUUUGAAAAUAUUCAAUAUCUAAAAUUCUAACUGAUUGGCAAGAGAGAACAUGAAAAUUGUGAUUUCCUUAUACUUGACAAAAAUCGAGUUCCCAUUUGUUUUCUGCAAUCAAGUUUUGCCAAACCUCAAACAAAAGUUUCUUAUACCUAACAUAUAUGAUACAUGCAUGAUGCAUAAGUAGUACAUAUAUAAAGAUCAGAGUAGUGUACCUUUGUCAUCUCCUUGCAAAGGACGUUGAGCCGUAUGAGGCUCAGAGAAGUGAAGAACAAGAACAACGAAAAGGAAGACCAUAAUCCCAAGUUUCUUUUCCAUUUUUUUCUUCUAAUAAGUUUCAAGAGACUUUUUGUGUGGAACACAAACAUAAACAAGAAGAAGAAGAAGAAGAAGUCAAAAGAUUAUUAUAUAUGAGUAAUUGAGUACAGAUCUCUCACUCUCACAUGGUCGGUUUCAUUUACGUUUAUACCCAUCUUUUUUUUGUAACUUCAUCAACCAGACAAAACAACUAGGCGACAACUACUUAUUACACGCAUUUCCAUAAGAG
Molecule: long non-coding RNA, 729 nt
Filed under: Capsella grandiflora
Lineage: Eukaryota; Viridiplantae; Streptophyta; Magnoliopsida; Brassicales; Brassicaceae
Description: long non-coding RNA (CGRA_LNC000376)
Source: RNAcentral